RNAcentral lists this ribosomal RNA (200 nucleotides) under uncultured bacterium. RNAcentral's name for it is "partial 16S ribosomal RNA". It matches the Rfam family "Bacterial small subunit ribosomal RNA", at positions 8 to 205 of the family's 1533-position model. The record is from RNAcentral.
AGAGUUUGAUCCUGGCUCAGAACGAACGCUGGCGGCGUGCCUAAUACAUGCAAGUCGAACGAGAAAGUGGCUUCGGCCAUGAGUAAAGUGGCAGACGGGUGAGUAAUACAUAGGUAAUCUCCCCUUGAGAUAGGGAUAACCUUCCGAAAGGAGGGCUAAUACCGAAUAAGACCACAGUUACUACGGUAACAGGGGUCAAA